RNAcentral lists this ribosomal RNA (497 nucleotides) under uncultured bacterium. Its description in RNAcentral is "partial 16S ribosomal RNA". It matches the Rfam family "Bacterial small subunit ribosomal RNA", at positions 28 to 507 of the family's 1533-position model. The record is from RNAcentral.
GAUGAACGCUGGCGGCGUGCCUAAUACAUGCAAGUCGAGCGAACGGACGAGAAGCUUGUUUCUCUGGUGUUAGCGGCGGACGGGUGAGUAACGCGUGGAUAACCUACCUAUGAGAGUGGGAUAACUUCGGGAAACCGUAGCUAAUACCGCAUAAUAUCUUGAACCGCAUGGUUCAAGAGUGAAAGACGCUCUUGCUUUCACUAAUAGAUAGAUCCGCGCUUCAUUAGCUAGUUGGUAAGUUAACGGCUUACCAAGGCAACGAUGCAUAGCCGACCUGAGAGGGUGAUCGGCCACACUGGAACUGAGCCACGGUCCAGACUCCUACGGGAGGCAGCAGUAGGGAAUCUUCCGCAAUGGGCGAAGGCCUGACGGAGCAACGCCGCGUGAGUGAUGAAGGUCUUCGGAUCGUAAAACUCUGUUAUUAGGGAAGAACAUAUGUGUAAGGAACUGUGCACAUCUUGACGGUAACUAAUCAGAAAGCCACGGCUAACUACGUG